Non-coding RNA from Lupinus albus (white lupine), 107 nucleotides. Lineage: Eukaryota; Viridiplantae; Streptophyta; Magnoliopsida; Fabales; Fabaceae. The record is from the annotation of a GenBank genome assembly.
AUCUGAUGAUGAGGGCAACUUGCGCACAACCUCUUAAAUAUCGCCCAGUACUCAUACAAACUCUCACCAUGUUGGUGCCUAAUUCCAGAUAUGUCCUUUCUGAUUGU